AGCUCCAAUAGCGUAUAUUCAAGUUGUUGCAGUUAAAAAGCUCGUAGUUGAAUUUUGGGUCUGGUCAACCGGUUUAGCCGCAAGGCUAACACUGGUUUGGUCGGAUCUUUCCUUGUAGGGAACUAGUGUGCCCUUCACUGGGUGCAUUAGGGAUCUAUGACUGUUACUUUGAAAAAAUUAGAGUGUUUAAAACAGGCGUUUGCUUGAAUACAUUAGCAUGGAAUAACGGAAUAGGACUUUGUUUCUAUUUUGUUGGUUUUUAGGAACGAAGUAAUGAUUAAUAGGGAUAGUUGGGGGCAUUAGUAUUCCAUUGUCAGAGGUGAAAUUCUUGGAUUUAUGAAAGACUAACUUCUGCGAAAGCAUUUGCCAAGGAUGUUUUCA
Molecule: ribosomal RNA, 381 nt
Filed under: uncultured eukaryote
Lineage: Eukaryota
Description: SSU rRNA
Rfam family: Eukaryotic small subunit ribosomal RNA
Source: RNAcentral